AACGAACGCUGGCGGCAGGCCUAACACAUGCAAGUCGAGCGAGCAUUUCGGUGCUAGCGGCGGACGGGUGAGUAACGCGUGGGAACGUGCCCUUUUCUGCGGAAUAGUCCUGGGAAACUGGGGGUAAUACCGCAUACGCCCUUUUGGGGAAAGAUUUAUCGGAGAAGGAUCGACCCGCGUUGGAUUAGGUAGUUGUUGGGGUAAUGGCCCACCAAGCCGACGAUCCAUAGCUGGUUUGAGAGGAUGAUCAGCCACACUGGGACUGAGACACGGCCCAGACUCCUACGGGAGGCAGCAGUGGGGAAUCUUAGACAAUGGGGGCAACCCUGAUCGAGCCAGGCCGGGUGAGUGAUGAAGGCCUUAGGGUUGUAAAGCUCUUUCAGCUGGGAAGAUAAUGACGGUACCAGCAGAAGAAGCCCCGGCUAACUCCGUG
This 433-nucleotide ribosomal RNA is filed under the name uncultured bacterium. RNAcentral describes it as "partial 16S ribosomal RNA". It matches the Rfam family "Bacterial small subunit ribosomal RNA", at positions 29 to 507 of the family's 1533-position model. The record is from RNAcentral.